AGCAAAAUGCUCAAAAUGGUGCAUCAAAAUACGUUUGUGGAAACACGGCUAUAGAAUGAGCCCUGAGGGCAGAAGAAAAAGCACAAAACUGAAGGACUGACACUAAUCAUGCUAGCACAUACAUACAUAAGAGGUGCUGGUGCUCAGAUGAUCAUAUCCACCUUCCAGGCUUUAGCAUUUGCUAAUGUGGCUAUCGUGUCCUCCAUGUCCAGGAUUCUUCAGACUUUCUGCUCUUUUGAUAUAAUGGCGUGAUCUGGCAGGCGGUGAUCUGAUACAUUGUAGACCGCAGGACCACAGCCAAUUAAAAUGAUAGAAAGAAGGAAGGCAGAGAUGAAAGAAGGAAGGAAGUAAGAGAGUGAGAUGUGUGGCAGGGGGAUGGAGGAAGAAAAUAAAGUUUGAGAAAGGAGUAAAGGAGAAGGAAAGAAUGGAUAGAAGCAAGGAAAGGGGAAAGGGAUCGUGACAAGCUAUGUGUGACUCACACGCAACCUCUGAAUCUCA
Anguilla rostrata (American eel) is the source of this 498-nucleotide long non-coding RNA. RefSeq lists it as uncharacterized. NCBI's taxonomy places the organism in Eukaryota, Metazoa, Chordata, Actinopteri, Anguilliformes, Anguillidae. The record is from RefSeq and is a predicted model, not a curated record. The transcript is spliced from 3 exons.